GGAUGUAAGGGUGUUCUGUCUGGGACAUCUGUCACCCCACUGAUAAGCAGCAUUGAUUUGGUUGAUCUGGCUGGCUUAGGCAGGUGUCCCCUUGCUCCCUCACCACUCCAUGUGCAUCCCUCCCAAAGCUGCACACUCAAAGAGGAUGACCUUCUCCAGUGACAUACCAUUCAUUGGUCAAGGGUAUAUGGUAGCUGCACUCCCCUGCUAGAACCUCCAAACAAGCUCAAGGUCCCUGAGGAAGAGAAGGCCAAAGGGAGACCUUACCAAUGUUCAUAAAUAUCUCAAUGGCAGGUGACAAGAGGAUGGUGCCAGACUCUUU
RNAcentral lists this small nuclear RNA (322 nucleotides) under Podiceps cristatus (great crested grebe). RNAcentral's name for it is "7SK RNA". It matches the Rfam family "7SK RNA". Rfam says of the family: 7SK was discovered as an abundant small nuclear RNA in the mid-70s but a possible function has only recently been suggested. Two independent studies have found that 7SK RNA binds the CDK9/cyclin T complex (known as elongation factor P-TEFb). The record is from Rfam by way of RNAcentral. Lineage: Eukaryota; Metazoa; Chordata; Aves; Podicipediformes; Podicipedidae.